GCCGGGUGUGGUGGCGGGUGCCUGUAAUCCCAGCUACUUGGGAGGCUGAGGCAGAAGAAUCACUUGAACCCAGGAGGCAGAGGUUGCAGUGAACCAAGAUUGUGUCACUGCACUCCAGCCUGGGCAACAUAGUGAGACUCCGUCUCAA
RNAcentral lists this non-coding RNA (148 nucleotides) under Nomascus leucogenys (northern white-cheeked gibbon). Lineage: Eukaryota; Metazoa; Chordata; Mammalia; Primates; Hylobatidae. The record is from Rfam by way of RNAcentral.